This 406-nucleotide ribosomal RNA is filed under the name uncultured bacterium. RNAcentral's name for it is "partial 16S ribosomal RNA". It matches the Rfam family "Bacterial small subunit ribosomal RNA", at positions 30 to 526 of the family's 1533-position model. The record is from RNAcentral.
AUUGAACGCUGGCGGCAGGCCUAACACAUGCAAGUCGAACGAGUGGCGGACGGGUGAGUAAUGUCUGGGAAACUGCCUGAUGGAGGGGGAUAACUACUGGAAACGGUAGCUAAUACCGCAUACCAUCGGAUGUGCCCAGAUGGGAUUAGCUAGUAGGUGGGGUAAAGGCUCACCUAGGCGACGAUCCCUAGCUGGUCUGAGAGGAUGACCAGCCACCCUGGAACUGAGACAAGGUCCAGACUCCUACGGGAGGCAGCAGUGGGGAAUAGUGGCCGAUGGGCGCAAGCCUGAAUGAGCCAUUCCGCGUGUAUGAAGAAGGCCUUCGGGUUGUAAAGGACUUUCAGCGGGGAGGCGUUACCCGCAGAAGAAGGACCGGCUAACUCCGUGCCAGCAGCCGCGGUAAUUC